AUUGAACGCUGGCGGCAUGCCUUACACAUGCAAGUCGAACGGCAGGCACGGGAGCAAUCCUGGUGGCGAGUGGCGAACGGGUGAGUAAUAUAUCGGAACGUGCCCAGUCGUGGGGGAUAACGUAGCGAAAGCUACGCUAAUACCGCAUACGAUCUAUGGAUGAAAGCGGGGGAUCGCAAGACCUCGCGCGAUUGGAGCGGCCGAUAUCAGAUUAGGUAGUUGGUGAGGUAAAGGCUCACCAAGCCGACGAUCUGUAGCUGGUCUGAGAGGACGACCAGCCACACUGGGACUGAGACACGGCCCAGACUCCUACGGGAGGCAGCAGUGGGGAAUUUUGGACAAUGGGCGCAAGCCUGAUCCAGCAAUGCCGCGUGCAGGAUGAAGGCCUUCGGGUUGUAAACUGCUUUUGUACGGAACGAAACGGUGAGCUCUAAUACAGUUUGCUAAUGACGGUACCGUAAGAAUAAGCACCGGCUAACUACGUG
RNAcentral lists this ribosomal RNA (485 nucleotides) under uncultured bacterium. Its description in RNAcentral is "bacterial SSU rRNA". It matches the Rfam family "Bacterial small subunit ribosomal RNA", at positions 30 to 507 of the family's 1533-position model. The record is from RNAcentral.